RNAcentral lists this ribosomal RNA (279 nucleotides) under uncultured bacterium. RNAcentral describes it as "partial 16S ribosomal RNA". It matches the Rfam family "Bacterial small subunit ribosomal RNA", at positions 506 to 784 of the family's 1533-position model. The record is from RNAcentral.
UGCCAGCAGCCGCGGUAAUACGUAGGGUGCAAGCGUUAAUCGGAAUUACUGGGCGUAAAGCGUGCGCAGGCAGUUUUAUAAGUCAGAUGUGAAAUCCCCGAGCUCAACUUGGGAACUGCGUUUGAAACUGUAAGACUAGAGUGUGUCAGAGGGGGGUAGAAUUCCAAGUGUAGCAGUGAAAUGCGUAGAGAUUUGGAGGAACACCAAACGCGAAGGCAUUCUACUGGGCAUUACCUAACGCUAAGGGACGAAAGUGUGGGGAGCAAACGGGAUUAGAUA